GUUCUAAUCAUUCAACGGAGUGGUAAUUAAUGGCAGAGGCAAUGUGAUGAUUAAAGGUGGCAACUGGUAUGGGAUUUGGAAAGGUUGUUUGUGCUCAUGAUUACCGUUAUUCAGCCAUGAAAUAAAAUAGCCAGUACUGUAUGAGAGUUCCGUUGCUCCAGCAUUACUCGCUCCUGUAUGCUUCUUGAUGAAUUAGCGGGGAAACUAGAGGACGUCCAUUUACGUCAUUACUCAGUGUUGUAAAGCAGAAUCCUGUAGCAGAAAAGUCACUGUGUAUGUUGUAACGAUAUGUUCUGGCGGUGGAAUAUUUGAUGAUAUUUGGACGAUGAUUGACGUAGACUCUAGGCGCAGAUCCCUCCAGAUUACGGAUAAGAGUUUAUUGGUUAUAAUUAUGAAAGUGGGAAAGAAAUGGAAUGGCAAUGAUCUAGAACAAUGCAUCGUAAACAACUUUAGAAGAUGCGUGGACCACUGAGCCAUUGACCGUGAAUAAUAUGCAAUAAAUUCAUUUGUGAAUGUGAAUCUUUCACUGUGCCGAAUGAACAUGCAUUAUUCUGUUGUCGACAAAUCCUUGAGGCUCUCACCUAUAAAGCGCAAGCCAUUAUUUGAUUUGCCUCCUGCUCUCUCUCUUUUCCUCUGUAAUCUUGUGCAGGUGAAAAAAAAAAAGAGGAGUCUACUUUAAGUCAUGAGGAAGCAAACCUUUUUUGCACCACCAACCCAUAGUGAUCCAGUUCAUUAAUAAACGAGCAUGCAAACUUAAAUUCCACCUCCAAAACAAAAAAACCAGUAAACCAGUAUUUAUUUUGACUUUACCUGUUUACAGCUGUAUUAAUGCCCAUGUUUGUCUUGUGGUGGGGGUUAAAACUUGAGAAGCUGUUCAUAUGAAUGAUGGGGGUGGGGCAUUAUGGCUACGGCAUGGACAUGUAAAUCUCAGCCUUGUGUGUGGAGUGUUCUCAUCAGCAUGGUUAUAUGGUUGUGCAUGAUGUCUCAGAAAGUGAGGGAAAUGUUUCAGCUUUUGUUUUUCCAUUUCAUUGUUGAAGUGUCCCAUUACUGUGCCACCACCACUCGCUUUUAUUGACUUGGAAAAGGCAGAAUAAAGAAGCGCCGAGAUUGGCGUCCCUAAUUUGUAACGUUCUUGCGUUCUCCUCUAGCUUCUAAUUUUCCUCCAUCAUCGGAAAAUGGAGCGCAGAUGAGAGGGUUCUUAGUUUCAAGGACUUCCUUCUUAGCAAAAGCCAGAGCCCUUGUUUUCAGCUUCCAAGAUCCAAUGUGUGUUUGGACAGCACAUCCAGGAUUGUGAACAUUUGUGACAAAACCACGUGUGACAGACAGUAGUACCACUACCACUAAGUUUGUCCAAUAGCAGAGACUUGGCUCUAUGGAGAAAAGAAAAGCUCAUCUGCCGAAGACAGGAAAAAGCCAGUGUGAAGUUAAAAAUGCAAAUCAAUACUGUUAAUUUUGCCCAUGUUUUAGAUCACAUGUUAAUCUGGACCAAAUUGGAUCCCCACAUGCAAGUAUAGAACUUGAACACACUGAUUCUAGAUCAAGCGCUUUGAUCUGCUCAUCUUUUCAAAGUGAUUCAUUGGAGCACUAUAAACUGUUUUUCUAAAUUACUUCAAUUUCACAUUGUUUCUCUGCCACAGCAC
This is a long non-coding RNA of Prosopis cineraria, 1640 nucleotides long. RefSeq lists it as uncharacterized. The record is from RefSeq and is a predicted model, not a curated record. NCBI's taxonomy places the organism in Eukaryota, Viridiplantae, Streptophyta, Magnoliopsida, Fabales, Fabaceae. The transcript is spliced from 5 exons.